UUUCUUGACAGUAAGGAUAAACAAUGUGCAGUAAGUCACAUAUUUCCAAAAUAUCUGGGGGGGGGCUAUUACGGUUUCUGAAACGAGGUGAAAAUUACAAAAAACCGUGAUAGCCCCCCUGAGAAGGUGCAAUUGGUGUUGCAAAAGCGAAUUGGUAUUUAAUCAACGAGAUUCAGAGACGGAAGCACAAGCCCAGGAUGAUCCUUCCCGAGAAAGCAGUCUCCGUACUUCGUCUGGAACCAAGAUUCAUAACUCCAGCGAUUAGAACCUGUUCGGAUGCACUCAAAUGCAAAGUUUGUCGUGCCAUGAGAUAUUUUCCUCCUGAACAAUGCAGUAUGGUCAAUGUUAAAGUGAUCGGGUGUUUACUGUUUGUAUGUGAUGGCGACACACUAUAGUUAUACCGGUGAUUCAAGAACAGAUUGGAAUAUUCCAUCUGCGACUUGCUCUCAAUGUUUAAGACGACUUUCAGGACUAUGGGAGCAAUACAAUGAUCUAAAUACUACAGUAAAAUCUUGUUCACAUAAUGAGACAAUUAGUCCUAUUGCUGCAGUUUAUAUCAUAUAUGAAGAUAAUUAAAUAUGAUUGCAUCAUUCGAUGUAGACUGUCAUAAUCAUUUAAAUUUGACAUAUUCGUCUAUAAGACCGCCACGAUGCGGAAAAAACAAGAUCUAACGAUUGAAAGUGAUAGAGGCACAGUUGUCGAGAGCAAUCAUGUCACUCUAGAACCGAGUAAUGUAGCGGCAAAUCAUCAUCGUCAUCAGCUCAGAAUCAAAACAAAACACCAACAUGAUUCAAACAGGCAUUCAAAUAAUCAAUUACAAAUAAUCAAUUACAAAUAAUCAAUUAACACCACCAAAAGGCGUAAUUCCUUAAUUUUUAAUACAAAUAGUAUGCUAUACGGGAUUCCUAUGAAGAUGUAUGUAUACGCGAGUACGAACGUAUUAUUUCAUCCAAGUUAAAUAUGUGGAAUGCAAGUUUAAAUUCUCGUCCCUUUUUGCAGACAAAACUCAGAUCCAUGCAUCGUCUUUUCAUUGUUAGAGCCAAUUUGUAUUUUACAGCACGUAUACAUACAUGAUGUCAUACGUAUUCCUCUAAUGAGUCUUAAUAUAUAAUCUGUACACAACAAA
Molecule: long non-coding RNA, 1126 nt
Organism: Solenopsis invicta (red fire ant)
Lineage: Eukaryota; Metazoa; Arthropoda; Insecta; Hymenoptera; Formicidae
Exons: 5
Source: RefSeq, a predicted model, not a curated record